GAUCAUGGCUCAGGACGAACGGCUGGCGGCGUGCUUAACACAUGCAAGUCGAGCGAUGAAGCUCUUCGGAAGUGGAUAGCGGCGGACGGGUGAGUAACACGUGGGUAACCUGCCUCAUAGAGGGGAAUAGCCUUCCGAAAGGAAGAUUAAUACCGCAUAAGAUUGUAAUAUCGCAUGAUAUAGCAAUUAAAGGAGUAAUCCGCUAUGAGAUGGACCCGCGUCGCAUUAGCUAGUUGGUGAGGUAACGGCUCACCAAGGCGACGAUGCGUAGCCGACCUGAGAGGGUGAUCGGCCACAUUGGGACUGAGACACGGCCCAGACUCCUACGGGAGGCAGCAGUGGGGAAUAUUGCACAAUGGGGGAAACCCUGAUGCAGCAAACCGCCGCGUGAGUGAUGACGGUCUUCGGAUUGUAAAGCUCUGUCUUCAGGGAUGAUAAUGACGGUACCUGAGGAGGAAGCCACGGCUAACUACGUGCCAGCCGCAGC
This 487-nucleotide ribosomal RNA is filed under the name uncultured bacterium. Its description in RNAcentral is "bacterial SSU rRNA". It matches the Rfam family "Bacterial small subunit ribosomal RNA", at positions 15 to 518 of the family's 1533-position model. The record is from RNAcentral.